UAGUGAGUUUGAUCCUGGCUCAGAACGAACGCUGGCGGCAGGCUUAACACAUGCAAGUCGAACGCCCCGCAAGGGGAGUGGCAGACGGGUGAGUAACGCGUGGGAAUCUACCCAGUUCUACGGAACAACACAGGGAAACUUGUGCUAAUACCGGAUAUGCCUAUGGGUGAAAGAUUAAUUGCCAGAAGAAGAGCUCGCGUCUGAUUAGCUAGUUGGAGAGGUAAAGGCUCACCAAGGCAUCGAUCAGUAGCUGGUCUGAGAGGACGAUCAGCCACACUGGGACUGAGACACGGCCCAGACU
Molecule: ribosomal RNA, 301 nt
Filed under: uncultured Hyphomicrobiales bacterium
Lineage: Bacteria; Pseudomonadati; Pseudomonadota; Alphaproteobacteria; Hyphomicrobiales
Description: uncultured Rhizobiales bacterium partial 16S ribosomal RNA
Rfam family: Bacterial small subunit ribosomal RNA
Source: RNAcentral